This 75-nucleotide transfer RNA is filed under the name Candidatus Bathyarchaeota archaeon. RNAcentral's name for it is "tRNA-Asp". It matches the Rfam family "tRNA". From Rfam's summary of the family: Transfer RNA (tRNA) molecules are approximately 80 nucleotides in length. The record is from RNAcentral. Lineage: Archaea; Thermoproteati; Candidatus Bathyarchaeota. RNAcentral also lists the same sequence under 1 other name.
GCCCCCGUGGUGUAGUGGCUAGCAUGUGGGCCUGUCAAGCCCGAGAUGCGGGUUCGAUUCCCGCCGGGGGCGCCA